This is a non-coding RNA of Nothobranchius furzeri (turquoise killifish), 1681 nucleotides long. NCBI's taxonomy places the organism in Eukaryota, Metazoa, Chordata, Actinopteri, Cyprinodontiformes, Nothobranchiidae. The record is from RefSeq and is a predicted model, not a curated record.
GUGUAGAAUUAGAUAUUUGGAAGCAGCAGCAUCAAGAGAGAGAAGCUGGAUGAGUGCGCACCUUUGGAUCAGCCAACGGAAGCAACUCCAAUUCACGAUGGAGCAGGAGUGGAAGGAGAGAGAAAAGAGAUAAGCUGCAAAAGGGUUAAAAGGUAGACUCACAUUUUUUAUUAAUUUAUAAUGCGGCUCAUUCGGCGUUCAGGCGCGUUUUACGCACUCUAGGCUCUCAGCUUGUGUUUAUGACAAAUAUUCAAAUGCAACAGAUAAUUUGAUUUCAUCGUAUUUAUCACACUAAUACAAUUCCAUUUCAAGUGAUUUCCUUUCUUGUUUCUUUUCUUUGACAGAAAAAGUAGCCCAACGACAUCCAGACAUUUCAUUCUCGUCAUGCCUGCGAGUUAAGGAUGCGAAUUAUUACGUGACGUAACAUCCAUGUAUUAAUCAUAACUGAAUCACGGCUGCAGGGAGUGCAACAGUGAUGUUUUUACCACUUUUGUUCUGCUCGUGCGUGCGCGCGCACAAAUGGAUGGAUGGUUGUGGACUGGGGGGUGGGUGGGAAAGGGGAAGCAGCUGUCACCAGACACUGAGGCGAUAUUAAAUCACCGGAGCUCACAGAAAGUGAUGGAGUCAGCUAAAGUGUGAGGGAUUGCUACCCACUCUGAGUAAAUCUUCGCUUUUUCAAGCCCUCUCAGGAAAAGCGCCUCCGCGCGAGGUGGAAACGACCAAGCCGCGCGGCUCCGUGGAUAAAGGGAUCCCCCUCUCCGCCCCUCCCUCCUCACCCCCUCACUGCAGGUCUAAACUGACUCCCAGACAGGGAAGCACACGGCGGAGGCACAGUCAGGCAGGGGGGCUGGGAUGAUGCUCAGAGUGGGACCACAUCAAAAUGAAACUGCUGCUGGACAGGGAAGUGGAUCUGCUGUUGCAGCCCGGAGCUGAAGAUGACCUGUUGGCCGGGCCAGCGGCUGCAACACAGGACAUGGGUCCUGCCUCCCCUGACCGCUCGUGUCUUGUGUUGCAGCCAGUGGAGCUGCCUGCUCAAACUCUCAGCCUGAAGAUGCACUGAGCUCCUGGAAUGCCAUCAUCCACAGGCGCCCUGAUCUCUUCACUUUACAACAAGCGUCUGCUCAACUACUGUUACUUUUGACAAAUCAACCAACUGUCCUCUCACCUGAGACAAUAAGCUGCUGUAGAUUAAAUGUAACUUGUGUUGCAUUUUUUAUUGAUAAAAGUAGGGAAAAACUAUAUAUUUUGGUUUUUGUUUACGAUGCAGUCCCUGCUCUCAGUCUAAAUCUAAUAUCUUAUUUUUAAAGUCACGUUUGUACAAGUAGCUAGUAGAGGCUAGUAGAGUAGUAGCUUUUAGAGGCUUGUGUGUACAUUUAAACAUAUUUAGCACCACUACAUUUUGAAAUGAUAAAACAAACCCUUGUAAUUGGAUUAUUUUACUUUGAUGAGUUAGGGAAAACGUGUUAGGAAAUUAAGAAAGACGCUGGAAAAUAUAACAUUUGAGUUGUGUAGUGGCAUUUUAUUCAACUGGAGUUUGCUAAUGCUAAUUAACUUGACAUUCGCAGCUUGAUGGAAUUCAUACAGCCCACCACCUUUCAUGCUAGACUUUUAAACCAAGAUCAGCUUAUGUUGAGCAAUUUGCAUCAAAUGUUGCUAAUAACAUUAAACUUGUAAGAUUGUA